RNAcentral lists this long non-coding RNA (735 nucleotides) under Parus major (Great Tit). Its description in RNAcentral is "lncRNA (ENSPMJG00000004217.1)". Lineage: Eukaryota; Metazoa; Chordata; Aves; Passeriformes; Paridae. The record is from RNAcentral.
CCCCCCAGGUGUACCUGGAGCUGGGGUUCCCCCCAGGUGUGUCCCCAGGUGUACCCCAGCCCCAUUUCUCCCCCAGGUGUACCCCAGCCCCAUUUCUCCCCUCCCCAGGUGUACCUGGAGCUGGGGUUCCCCCCACAGUCCCAGCGCUGGAUCAUUGGGCAGAGCCUGUGCCGGGACGGGCGCAGCCUGAGCUCCUACGGCAUCCGGCACCACGGGGACCCGGCCUUCCUCUUCCUCCUGCCUGCAGCCCAGCCUGACCCCCACGGGCUGCUCAGGGCCCUGGGGAUGGAACAGGAGACACCUGGGACAGCCCAGCCUGACCCCCACGGGCUGCUGAGGGCCCUGGGGAUGGAACAGGAGACACCUGGGACAGGUAACCUUCAUCAUCAUCAUCCUCCUCAUCAUCCUUCUCCUUCCUCAUCCUCAUCAUCAUCCUGCUCCUUCCUCUUCCUCCUGCUCCUUCCUCUUCCUCCUGCCCGCGGCCACACCUGACCCACACGGGCUGCUGAGGGCCCUGGGGAUGGAACAGGAGACACCUGGGACAGCCCAGCCUGACCCCCACGGGCUGCUGAGAGCCCUGGGGAUGGAACAGGAGACACCUGGGACAGGUAACCUUCAUCAUCAUCAUCAUCAUCAUCAUCCUGCUCCUUCCUCAUCCUCAUCAUCAUCCUGCUCCUUCCUCAUCCUCCUGCUCCUUCCUCUUCCUCCUGCCCGCGGCCACACCUGACCCCCACG